Molecule: long non-coding RNA, 2808 nt
Organism: Myiozetetes cayanensis
Lineage: Eukaryota; Metazoa; Chordata; Aves; Passeriformes; Tyrannidae
Exons: 8
Source: RefSeq, a predicted model, not a curated record
CUUUGGCCACCGAUGUUUCGUGGUUGGGGCAGUUCAGCUCUUUGGGCUCUUCUGAUUUUCACUGACUUUGAGAAGGGCCCAGAAACAGCAAUAACUAUUUUCUCUCCCCAGCCAGGCACCAGCACUGCACUGGGAGGCUGCAGCUGGGAGCAGGCAGGACCUGGACACAGCAGUGCAGGGCUGGGGCCUGACGGAGCCGUGGGGUUCCCACUUCCCACUCCAGCCACACCAUAUCCGUGAUCCACAACCUGUCUGCUUCCCAUCGUGCAGCUGCCUGGCAGGAGCCUGGCAGUGUCUGCAGCCUGCCCAGACAUGUUGCACACUGUGCUUGGCUGGCUGGCAAAGAGCUGGGAUACAGAGAGUGUUUUGAAUCCAUCAGCCUCCGGAGAGAGAAGCCCCCUCAGUGCCUCUGGCAGCCCUUGCAGGCCCAGGCUGUGAGGGCAGCAGCUCUGGGUUGCGGGGCAGUCUCUGGGCACCCCACUGAAGCCCUCAGGGCACACAAGCAUUCCCAAUCUCUUUCUGACUCCCAAGGGUCCUCCCUGACUCCUGGAAAAACGUAGCCUUGAGUUAAACUGUGUGGAGAGCUCUCAGCAGCAGCACAGGUUUGGGCAAAGUGGAGUCUUGUAGCUCCUGUAGAGACCUUAAACUGCAGAGACCAGAGGGAUCAGGGUAAUUUCAGGGAAACAGCCAUUGGAAUGCUUGUGCUUUUUCCCUUCUGGUUUUAAAGGUUCAAAGUCUUGUAAAAAUAUAAGAGAAAACUGUCCUUGGAAUGACUGUGCAGCUGAAAACAUCGUUGGCUUUUUGGAAUUUCCUCUUCCACCUGGUUCUUUUUUCUUUUAUUAUUAUUAUUUUUAGGGUCUUUAGACGAGAACAGAUUUGUAUUCCUCUCUUCCUGCUGCUCACCUACCACCCGAAAUCCUCGGCUGCUCCUUGCAGUUCCCACCACGACAGGCGAGCGAUAUCCCGAGCGGAGCGCUGGAGCUGCAGGGAGACUCUGCAGAUCCUGUGGAGUGCAGGAGUCAAGGCGAACAGAGACCGAUGAAUGAUGGCUCCACGCUGGGAUUUUGGAGAGUGUCUACAUGGUGUCAUUUCCUCUCACUGCUCCAUUUCUAAAGAUAAGUGCUUUGUGUUUGGAGAAGCUUUUCUGUGUUUCCAACCCCUUGACAGCACGGGCUGCUGAACGAGAACAUAGUGAAGGAAAGCAGCUGAAGAAAGAGAAGCUGUUCCUGUAGUAGGCUUCAGAAAAAUUGCUGCUUGUCUUUCCUCCCCCACAACGCUGAAUCCCAGCACCCCAGACUGUCGUGACUGCCGGGGAUUGGUGACAUCUCGAGUGACACGUGUUGGAGCAUCAGAACAGAGUGGGAGCAGCACAGCUUGGCUCCGGGAGCCAAAAAUAGGAGUCCCCAAAUGCAGCUGAGCAGGCCCCUGAUGGUUGGUGGGUGCCAGAGCUGGUGAGGGAUGACAGCGUUCUGUAGCCCCUGGGAAGUGUGCCUUGGGCUCCUGUCAGUGGGUGCUGUGUGUGGGAAUGGGGAGCAACUGCCACGUGCUGAGAAUGAGGGGAGUGAAGGAUUCCCACCAUGUGAUCCAUCAGCUCAUCUGAUCCAUCUGAUCCAUCAGCUGGGCCUUUCAGACUGCUGCAGUCUCACUUCCCUGAGACUUCCCUCCUGGCACAGACACCGGGAGAAAACGUGAUGGUGUUCACAGAGCACUGAGACUUAGGAGAUGUGAAAUGUGGACCUGCUGCUCUACCUCUGGUGACUCACACCACCUUUCUGUGGUUCUGCUGUCCUUCUGACUUCCUGUCAGGAUAACCUGGCCUGAAACCUGUCUGGGGAAAGGACUUGGUUUCCCUGUGUGAUCCUACGGUGUCUAAUACAACAGGACCCAACCUCAGAGAUACCCUUGGAUAGCCCAGCAAUGUAAGCCUGUGCUGACAUGGAUGCAGGCCAUCAGCAGUGUGGAAACAUUCCCUGUAUGAGGGAUGUGGUGGUUGGCACACGCUCCAGCACUCAAAGGGGACGAGGAUAAAUUACAGCUGGUUGCUGGUAAUCCUUGUGGCAUAUCAGAUAGCAGCGUAACUCGGCAAGGGUAAGCUGGAGAAACCCAAACAUCCUUCUGAGGAGGUAAUUAUUCCAUUGUGAAAAUGCUCCGGGACAUUUUUAGUGGCCAAACCCCCUGUUUCCUGGCAGAAACAUAAAAUAAUGAAGGAAGUUUCACAAGGAGAAACGCUUCAGACACCUGUACUAGCCGGUGCUUUGCAGUCAUAGCAGCGUUUAAUUCGCCGUGCACAUCCCUGCGUCCCCGUGCACGGCCAAAGCCACACCUGGGUUUGGGGCACUGGGGGCUGUGCCAGCGCUGCCUGGCAGAAAACCCUCUCCACAAACAAAUCUGCAAAUCCCGCUGGAUCAGGGAUAAUUUCACGGGAAUGUAGAGCUGCCUGCAACAAGAGGGACACCCUCACGGCGCGCACCGAGGUUAUCAAGGGAAACUUUCCUCGGCAGGAGUCAUACAUCCAGUGUAAAAGCCUGGAUUUUUGGGGGAACAAAUGACGUAAAACUAGUUUUAAAACAUUUUGCAACACGUUUUUGUGGGGAUGUGCCCUCGUUUCGUGUCCCGCAGUGCCCCAGGGGUCUGGUUAUCUCCCGGUUACCUCGAGCACUGGUCCUACAUAAUUUAUGUCCUGAAAGAGACGAUUCAAUUAGUCAAUAAUAAAAUGAGCAAGGACAGCGUGUGCGUUGUAAAAAUAUAAUUUAGUGGGCAACAAGCUGAGAUGGAAAAAUAUAAGGGUACACUCCAUAUGAUUAAUGA